GACGAACGCUGGCGGCGUGCUUAACACAUGCAAGUCGAACGGAAAGGCCCUGCUUUUGUGGGGUGCUCGAGUGGCGAACGGGUGAGUAACACGUGAGUAACCUGCCCUUGACUUUGGGAUAACUUCAGGAAACUGGGGCUAAUACCGGAUAGGAGCUCCUGCUGCAUGGUGGGGGUUGGAAAGUUUCGGCGGUUGGGGAUGGACUCGCGGCUUAUCAGCUUGUUGGUGGGGUAGUGGCUUACCAAGGCUUUGACGGGUAGCCGGCCUGAGAGGGUGACCGGCCACAUUGGGACUGAGAUACGGCCCAGAGUGCUACGGGAGGCAGCAGUGGGGAAUAUUGCACAAUGGGCGGAAGCCUGAUGCAGCAACGCCGCGUGCGGGAUGACGGCCUUCGGGUUGUAAACCGCUUUCGCCUGUGACGAAGCGUGAGUGACGGUAAUGGGUAAAGAAGCACCGGCUAACUACGUG
Molecule: ribosomal RNA, 468 nt
Filed under: uncultured bacterium
Lineage: Bacteria
Description: partial 16S ribosomal RNA
Rfam family: Bacterial small subunit ribosomal RNA
Source: RNAcentral